This 460-nucleotide ribosomal RNA is filed under the name uncultured bacterium. Its description in RNAcentral is "partial 16S ribosomal RNA". It matches the Rfam family "Bacterial small subunit ribosomal RNA", at positions 338 to 795 of the family's 1533-position model. The record is from RNAcentral.
CCUACGGGAGGCAGCAGUGAGGAAUAUUGGUCAAUGGGCUUACGCCUGAACCAGCCAAGUCGCGUGAGGGAAGACUGCCCUAUGGGUUGUAAACCUCUUUUGUCAGGGAGCAAUUGGCGCUACGUGUAGCGUUAUCGAGAGUACCUGAAGAAAAAGCAUCGGCUAACUCCGUGCCAGCAGCCGCGGUAAUACGGAGGAUGCGAGCGUUAUCCGGAUUGAUUGGGUUUAAAGGGUGCGUAGGCGGAAUGCCAAGUCAGCGGUAAAAUCGCGGGGCUCAACCUCGCUCCGCCGUUGAAACUGGCGUUCUUGAGUGGGCGAGAGGUAUGCGGAAUGCGUGGUGUAGCGGUGAAAUGCAUAGAUAUCACGCAGAACUCCGAUUGCGAAGGCAGCAUACCGGCGCCCAACUGACGCUGAAGCACGAAAGCGUGGGUAUCGAACAGGAUUAGAGACCCGAGUAGUC